UGUCCAGUGACUCCUAUCCCUACCUCCCCGUGGUGCCGGUACGAGUAACCGUAGGGAAGAUCGGGUAACCAACCCUGGUGGGACCUUGGUCGUAUGCUGACAGGGAAGG
This 109-nucleotide ribozyme is filed under the name Aedes aegypti (yellow fever mosquito). Its description in RNAcentral is "drz-agam-1 ribozyme". It matches the Rfam family "drz-agam-1 ribozyme". The record is from Rfam by way of RNAcentral. Lineage: Eukaryota; Metazoa; Arthropoda; Insecta; Diptera; Culicidae.